Non-coding RNA from Acanthosepion pharaonis, 114 nucleotides. NCBI's taxonomy places the organism in Eukaryota, Metazoa, Mollusca, Cephalopoda, Sepiida, Sepiidae. The record is from the annotation of a GenBank genome assembly.
UUACGGUCAUAUCACGUUGAAACACCAAUUCUCGUACAAUUAUCGAAAUUAAGCAACGUCAAUCCUGGUCAGUACCUAGAUGGGUGACCCCGUGGGAAUAUCAGGUGAUGCAAU